Non-coding RNA from Pimephales promelas (fathead minnow), 998 nucleotides. The record is from RefSeq and is a predicted model, not a curated record. NCBI's taxonomy places the organism in Eukaryota, Metazoa, Chordata, Actinopteri, Cypriniformes, Leuciscidae.
GUCAAAAGUUAUCAAACCAAUUACUGUACUGGUUAACUAAUGCUCUAGGAUAAGGGAAGUUACACCACAGACUGUUCCAGGGUUUUCUCAUUAAUUGAUAGAAUAGUACGCUAGCCCUUUAAGAAACGCGAUGUGUGACAUUCUGGAAGAAUCGCGAGAUUCUGCUGUGUACAGCGCGUGGUCACAACGUGAUUUGAAGUGCGGCUCAUGCGGUGGAGUGCUGAGGCCAUUAGACGCCGAUGUUACUGUUAAAAUAACAAAAAAAGCACAUAUAGUAACUUGGAAGUCUCUCUUAGUGUGUUGUGAGGAUUGUGUGUUGUGCUGAGGGAACUUUGAAAUUCUGUCGACUCGAGAUGCAUACCUAUGUGGAGAAAUCCGAUCGACAAUAAAUCUCGAAGCAGGGGAGAGGAGUAUUCUUAAGGCCUCCUGAGUGUUUCCAGGCCGAGUGUGAAGCAACAGAAAGGAGAAUUGAGUUCAGCAUUCAAUGUGACAGUGUGUACAUGCUAUAAAGUGUGUUGAUGAACAGUAAGUUUAAUUUGAUUAUUAUAAUAAGAGUCAUUUAAUUAUUUCUUUGUGGAAUAUUAGAAUGUUAAUUCAGAGUGAUUUAUAUUUAGUGGAUGUUAGCCAUUGUAAUGAUUAGAAUGUAUUAAUGUUACUGGGAAAUGUAACUUCAUUUUUACAUUUUUCAUGCAUCUUUUAUGUAAGAUAAGCAGCUUUAUUUGGUAUUCUGUGUUGACAAAUCUUGUAACAAUCUGUGUAUGUGUUUUUCAGAAUACGAGUCCACUAUCGUUGUCUAUGUUAAUUAGAUUCCAGUAGUUUAUUUGUUAAUGUGGUGACUGAGAACAGAAAGACAAGAGAGACUAGAGUUGAUAACAAAAUAUCUUUAUUGAUUCCAACCAAUGUAACAAGCUUUCCUGUCUAGUAUCACAUAUUUGCAUAGUUAACGCUGCGCUGUUUCAAGUGCAGUCUGGAAUAAACGAUCCCACAGAUAAUUUAAA